RNAcentral lists this unclassified non-coding RNA (728 nucleotides) under Hevea brasiliensis (rubber tree). The record is from RNAcentral. Lineage: Eukaryota; Viridiplantae; Streptophyta; Magnoliopsida; Malpighiales; Euphorbiaceae.
AAGAAAUUGGCAUAGUACUACUGUAAGCAAAGGCUUUCAAUCUUUCUGAUUCUCUAAGUCAAUUCUUCUUUUUCUUCUUUUUCUUGGUGUUGCUUCGCUUUCCUUUUUUUUUUUUUUUUUUUCUUUAAAAANNNNAACCCACUGAUAAGGAAGAAUAAUAGGGAAAUGGGAGCAACCAACAGAGACCUAGUUCGCCACCAAACAUGCUAUGGCUGUUGGCAUGAAGGACCAUAAGCUACAAGAAGUUUUGUCUUGCUAUUGUCUGCAUUGUUCUUUGCUUUGCUUAUGGGAAAGGUUGGUGUUGAAGAGGAGCAGCCAUUGCCUACCAGUGAUGAUAGUUCUCAGCAAAAUGUACAGAGGAGAUCCUUUGGAUGUUGUGGUUGUGGGUUUAAACGCAUUUAUAGGCUCAUUCGGCUCAGAUGUGUAUUGGUGCUUCUGUUGUCUGUGGCUUUGUUUCUCUCUGCUGUCUUCUGGCUACCUCCCUUCCUUCACUUUGCAGAUCAGGGAGAUCUGGAUCUUGAUCCCAGGUUUAAAAAUCACGAUAUAGUAGCAAGUUUCAAUGUCAGAAAUUCAAUUCCCUUUCUGGAAGACAAUAUCUUGCAGCUUGUGGACGAUGUUUUUUAUGAGAUAAGCUCUCCUAGCAUCAAGGUGGCUAUAUUGUCUCUAGAACCUUCAGUGGAACCAAACACAACAACGGUUGUGUUUGGGGUUGAUCCUGAUGCAAAAAA